CAAAGGCCUGGUCCUGGCUUUACUGUCUACUUCAACUAGAUUUACACAUGCAAGUAUCCGCACCCCCGUGAGAAUGCCCCAACAGUUUUAUACCCUAAAACAAGGAGCUGGUAUCAGGCACAAACUUAUGUUAGCCCACAACGCCUUGCUUAGCCACACCCUCAAGGGAAUUCAGCAGUGAUAAACCUUAAGCAAUGAGUGAAAACUCGACUUAGUUAAAGUUAAGAGGGCCGGUAAAACUCGUGCCAGCCACCGCGGUUAUACGAGCGACCCAAGUUGACAAACCCCGGCGUAAAGCGUGGUUAGGGAAACCCAAAAACUAAAGCCGAAUGCCUUCAAGGCAGUUAUACGCAAUCCGAAAAUACGAAGCCCCACCACGAAAGUGGCUUUACCACCCCUGACUCCACGAAAGCUAUGACACAAACUGGGAUUAGAUACCCCACUAUGCAUAACUGUAAACAAUGAUAGAAGAAUACACCCCCUAUCCGCCUGGGAACUACGCGCACCAGCCUGAAACCCAAAGGACUUGGCGGUUCUUUAGACCCCCCUAGAGGAGCCUGUUCUGUAACCGAUUAUCCCCGUUAAACCUCACCCUCCCUUGUUAUAUUCCGCCUAUAUACCGCCGUCGUCAGCUAACCCUGUGAAGGAUUAAUAGUAAGCUAAAUUGGCACAGCCCAGAACGUCAGGUCCAGGUGUAGCGUAUGGGAGGGGCAGAGAUGGGCUACAUUCGCUAACAUAGCGAACACGGACGACAAAUUGUACUGAAAAAAUACACGCGAAGGAGGAUUUAGCAGUAAGUAGAAAACAGAGUGUUCUACUGAAGCCGGCUCUAAAGUGCGCACACACCGCCCGUCACUCUCCCCAAGCAACCAAACACCCAAUUAAAUAAUAUCUUCCAACCGCAAAGGGGAGACAAGUCGUAACAUGGUAAGUGUACCGGAAGGUGCACUUGGAAAAAU
RNAcentral lists this non-coding RNA (959 nucleotides) under Nealotus tripes (black snake mackerel). RNAcentral describes it as "12S rRNA". It matches the Rfam family "Bacterial small subunit ribosomal RNA". The record is from RNAcentral. Lineage: Eukaryota; Metazoa; Chordata; Actinopteri; Scombriformes; Gempylidae.